CAUAGCGACUAUCGUGGCAUAUCAAUAAGCGGAGGAAAAGAAACUAACAAGGAUUCCCUUAGUAACGGCGAGUGAAGCGGGAAGAGCUCAAAUUUGAAAUCUUCAAGGUUCUACCUUGACGAAUUGUAGUUUAUAGAAGUGUUUUCUGUUAGUGGAGUGGCAAAAGUUCUUUGGAAUAGGACAUCAUAGAGGGUGAGAAUCCCGUAUUUGGUCAUUCCUCCUAGCGUUGUGAUACACUUUCAACGAGUCGGAUUGUUUGGGAAUGCAGUCCAAAAUGGGUGGUAAAUUUCAUCUAAAGCUAAAUAUUGGCGAGAGACCGAUAGCGAAUAAGUACCGUGAGGGAAAGAUGAAAAGAACUUUGAAAAGAGAGUUAAACAGUACGUGAAAUUGUCAAAAGGGAAGCGUUUGACACCAGUGUUGUUUUUCCGAAAAUCAAUUACGAAUGUUUUGUUUUUGAGGAGUUAUGACUUCAUCGGCUUGCUCCUUUCUUUACGAAACUUUCUUAAUGCACUUUUCGGUUAACAAGUCAACAUCAAUUUCUUUUGUUGUAAAAGGGUAUGAGGAAGGUGGCUUUCUUUUCGGAGAAAGUGUUUAUAGCCUUGUGCCUCUAGCAAUCGGAGAGAUUGAGGUCUGCAGCGUAGAUCCUUCGGGGUUAGAUACAUUUGUGCUAAGUUAUAGCUUUUCAUAGACAACUUGUUGACUAUGAUUUAGUCAUUGUAGCUUACUCGCUUACUGCUAUUUUACCUACGCUUAGGAUGUUGAUAUGCAUGACUGAUAU
This 778-nucleotide ribosomal RNA is filed under the name uncultured Neocallimastigales. Its description in RNAcentral is "partial large subunit ribosomal RNA". It matches the Rfam family "Eukaryotic large subunit ribosomal RNA", at positions 22 to 643 of the family's 3401-position model. Lineage: Eukaryota; Fungi; Neocallimastigomycota; Neocallimastigomycetes; Neocallimastigales. The record is from RNAcentral.